RNAcentral lists this ribosomal RNA (497 nucleotides) under uncultured bacterium. Its description in RNAcentral is "partial 16S ribosomal RNA". It matches the Rfam family "Bacterial small subunit ribosomal RNA", at positions 28 to 507 of the family's 1533-position model. The record is from RNAcentral.
GACGAACGCUGGCGGCGUGCCUAAUACAUGCAAGUUGAGCGCUGAAGGUUGGUACUUGUACCGACUGGAUGAGCAGCGAACGGGUGAGUAACGCGUGGGUAAUCUGCCUUUGAGCGGGGGACAACAUUUGGAAACGAAUGCUAAUACCGCAUAAAAACUUUAAACACAAGUUUUAAGUUUGAAAGAUGCAAUUGCAUCACUCAAAGAUGAUCCCGCGUUGUAUUAGCUAGUUGGUGAGGUAAAGGCCCACCAAGGCGAUGAUACAUAGCCGACCUGAGAGGGUGAUCGGCCAAAUUGGGACUGAGACACGGCCCAAGCUCCUAAGGGGGGGAGCAGUAAGGGAACUUCGGCCAUGGACGAAAGUCUGAACGAGCAACGCCGCGUGAGUGGAGAAGGUUUUCGGGUCGGAAAACUCUGUUGGUAGAGAAGAAAGUUGGUGGGAGUGGAAAGCUCAUCAAGUGACGGUAACUAACCAGAAAGGGACGGCUAACUACGUG